UACGAAGGGUGCAAGCGUUACUCGGAAUUACUGGGCGUAAAGCGUGCGUAGGUGGUUUGUUAAGUCUGAUGUGAAAGCCCUGGGCUCAACCUGGGAAUUGCAUUGGAUACUGGCAGGCUAGAGUGCGGUAGAGGGUAGUGGAAUUCCCGGUGUAGCAGUGAAAUGCGUAGAGAUCGGGAGGAACACCAGUGGCGAAGGCGACUACCUGGACCAGCACUGACACUGAGGCACGAAGGCGUGGGGAGCAAACAGG
Molecule: ribosomal RNA, 253 nt
Filed under: uncultured bacterium
Lineage: Bacteria
Description: partial 16S ribosomal RNA
Rfam family: Bacterial small subunit ribosomal RNA
Source: RNAcentral